This 766-nucleotide non-coding RNA is filed under the name Pedesta hyrie. Lineage: Eukaryota; Metazoa; Arthropoda; Insecta; Lepidoptera; Hesperiidae. The record is from RNAcentral.
UAAAAAUUUAUGAUUUUGAAAAUUUAUUUUUAAUUUAUUUUACAUGUAAAUUUUAGUAUUAAUUUUUAAUUAUUUUAAUAAUAAUAAUUUAAUUAGCAGUAAUUAAAAUUAAAAAUUUAAGAAAUUAAGAUUUAGUAAUAUUAAAAUUAAUAACAAAUUUUGUGCCAGCAGUUGCGGUUAUACAAAAAUUAAGAUGAAUUUUUUUGGUUAUAGUUAAUAUAUUAUUUUUAAUUUAAAUAUUAAAUUAUUAGGUGAAAUUUUAAUUUAAUUAAAAUUUAUAUUUUAUUUAUGAUCUAAUAAAUUUAAAUAUUAAACUAGGAUUAGAUACCCUAUUAUUUUAAAUUUUAUAAAAAAACUAAAAUAGUAAAUAAGUAAUUAUUGGAACUUAAAUAAUUUGGCGGUAAUUUAGUUCAUUUAGAGGAAUCUGUUUAAUAAUUGAUAUUCCACGAAUAAAUUUACUUAAUUUAAUAUUUUGUAUAUCGUUGUUAAAAAAAUAUUUUUAAAUAAAAAUAAUAUUUUAAAUUUAAAAUAGAAAUUAAUUCAAAUCAAGAUGCAGAUUAUAAUUAAGAAUAUAAUGGAUUACAAUAAAUUUAUUUAAAUGAAUUUUUUUUUGUAAUAAUUAGUUGAAAGUGGAUUUAAAUGUAAUUUUAAUUAAUUUAUUAAAAUGAUUAAAAAUUGAAUUAUGUACAUAUUGCCCGUCGCUUUCAUUUAAAAAUUGGAAUAAGUCGUAACAAAGUAGAAGUACUGGAAAGUGUUUCUAGAAAGA